Molecule: long non-coding RNA, 518 nt
Filed under: Panax ginseng (ginseng)
Lineage: Eukaryota; Viridiplantae; Streptophyta; Magnoliopsida; Apiales; Araliaceae
Description: long non-coding RNA (PGIN_LNC013619)
Source: RNAcentral
AUUGGUUUAAUCUUGGAUUAUCAAGAAUCAAACAAGAGGAUUCAAGAAAGAAAAUGAAAUGGAAAGAAAAUUUGAAGAACAAAAUUCGUAGGUUUUUAGUAAUUGUGGACAUAUCUUGUGAAAUUCAUACCUCUUUGGGUAUACUGAGUUAGAAAGUGAGCCUUAUUUCAAAUCGAAGAUAUGGAAGUAAGCUAUAUUCUGAAAGUGGAAUCACAUGAAAACUCUUUGUAGAUUUCUUGCAAUGUCUGUUUUAGUAAGGCUGGUCCGAAGGGAAAAUAAUCUGUCCAGAAAAUCAAAACUGUUACGAUUUCUGACUUUGAAAAAUUCAUAUAAAUUCGUGUGUUUUGAAUCUGAAGAAACCUAAAACUGCAAAGUUGUAGAUAUAGAAGUUUACUAGCUAGACACGCGAGAUUGAGCCAUUUUAUGGACCUUCAUGUCCAAAAUAAAUUGUUUGGUAAGGAUGUCUAGAAAAUGAAAUUUUCUAGACUAGUUGAUGAAUUUCAGAAUCUGGUUUAGAU